Molecule: ribosomal RNA, 515 nt
Filed under: uncultured bacterium
Lineage: Bacteria
Description: bacterial SSU rRNA
Rfam family: Bacterial small subunit ribosomal RNA
Source: RNAcentral
AGGGUUCGAUUCUGGCUCAGGAUGAACGCUAGCGGCAGGCCUAAUACAUGCAAGUCGGACGGUAAAUGCCCCUUCGGGGGCAUGAGAGUGGCGGACGGGUGCGCAACGCGUAUGCAACCACCCCCGACGGGCGCACAGCCGGUGGAAACGCCGGGUAAUGCGCCAUGCGCCCUAGAGGGGGCAUCCCCUUUCGGGCAAAGCCAUAAGGCGGUCGGGGACGGGCAUGCGUCCCAUUAGCUGGUAGGCGGGGCGACGGCCCACCUAGGCUACGAUGGGUAGGGGAUCUGAGAGGACGGUCCCCCACACUGGUACUGAGACACGGACCAGACUCCUGCAGGAGGCAGCAGUAAGGGAUAUUGGGCAAUGGGGGGAACCCUGACCCAGCCAAUGCCGCGUGAGGGAAGUAGGCCCUACGGGUCGUGAACCUCUUUUAUACGGGGACAAGGACGGCGUCGCGAACGCCGUUUGAGGGUACCGUAGGAAUAAGCGUCGGCUAACUCCGUGCCAGCAGCAGC